RNAcentral lists this ribosomal RNA (506 nucleotides) under uncultured cyanobacterium. RNAcentral's name for it is "bacterial SSU rRNA". It matches the Rfam family "Bacterial small subunit ribosomal RNA", at positions 115 to 655 of the family's 1533-position model. The record is from RNAcentral. Lineage: Bacteria; Bacillati; Cyanobacteriota.
GCGUGAGAAUCUGCCCUCAGGAGGGGGAUAACGACUGGAAACGGUCGCUAAUACCCCAUAUGCCGCGAGGUGAAAUGAAUUUCGCCUGAGGAUGAGCUCGCGUCUGAUUAGCUAGUUGGUGGGGUAAAGGCCUACCAAGGCAUCGAUCAGUAGCUGGUCUGAGAGGAUGAUCAGCCACACUGGGACUGAGACACGGCCCAGACUCCUACGGGAGGCAGCAGUGGGGAGUUUUCCGCAAUGGGCGAAAGCCUGACGGAGCAACGCCGCGUGAGGGAUGAAGGCCUCUGGGCUGUAAACCUCUUUUAUCAAGGAAGAAGAUCUGACGGUACUUGAUGAAUAAGCCACGGCUAAUUCCGUGCCAGCAGCCGCGGUAAUACGGGAGUGGCAAGCGUUAUCCGGAAUUAUUGGGCGUAAAGCGUCCGCAGGCGGUCUGUCAAGUCUGCUGUUAAAGCGUGGAGCUUAACUCCAUUUCGGCAGUGGAAACUGACAGACUAGAGUGUGUAGGG